CUUCUAGCCGAAGCCCAAAGAAGGAAUCGGGUCGGGUAUAUCCCUUCUCAACCCGGUUCAGACCCGAAGCGGGAUGGAUAAAGCGGGCAGGCUCGAAACGGACAAAUGAAACGGUUUUUGGCUUUGUUCGCGGAACCGCGGGGAAGCACAAGACAAGACGGUGGGCCGUUUGAAUUGAAUUGAUUAUCUCUCUUCCCCCUCCUCUGUCUCUCAUUGGGAAACUCGGAAAUCAAAAGCCCUAGAGGACUACGAACCAAAUUGAUCUUCAAAUUGUUGAAUUCAAAGUCACUAGGUAGGAUUUGGCUUGAAAACAUUGGAUUUUCCUUUCUUACCACAUUUUGGUUCUGGAAAAUCUGCAGUUGUGCUGCCUGGAGGAAAGUCUAUGUCAGCUAGUGCUUGUACAAUGACCCAAACAAGAGCUUCAGCUUAUGAAACCGCUCUGCCUUCUGAUAAAAUCAAUGGCAUUGGUAUUUUGAGCCCUUGGACUGAUAAAGAUCCAACCUACUCUUAGCAUCUUGU
This is a non-coding RNA of Prunus mume (Japanese apricot), 519 nucleotides long. The record is from RefSeq and is a predicted model, not a curated record. NCBI's taxonomy places the organism in Eukaryota, Viridiplantae, Streptophyta, Magnoliopsida, Rosales, Rosaceae.